UUGGAGGGCAAGUCUGGUGCCAGCAGCCGCGGUAAUUCCAGCUCCAAUAGCGUAUAUUAAAGUUGUUGCAGUUAAAAAGCUCGUAGUUGAAUUUCGGGGUUAGUAGGUUGGUCAUGCCUCUGGUAUGUACUGGUCUCACUGAUUCCUCCUUCCUUAUGAACCGUAAUGCCAUUAAUUUGGUGUUGCGGGGAAUUUGGACUGUUACUUUAGAAAAAAUUAGAGUGUUUAAAGCAAGCUAACGCUUGAAUACAUUAGCAUGGAAUAAUGAAAUAGGACG
Molecule: ribosomal RNA, 277 nt
Filed under: uncultured Glomus
Lineage: Eukaryota; Fungi; Glomeromycota; Glomeromycetes; Glomerales; Glomeraceae
Description: partial 18S ribosomal RNA
Rfam family: Eukaryotic small subunit ribosomal RNA
Source: RNAcentral